AGCUUUGCGCAGUGGCAGUAUCGUAGCCAAUGAGGUUUAUCCGAGGCGCGAUUAUUGCUAAUUAAAUCCCGUUUUGAAUUCUUUGGAUUCUUUUGGGUAUAUACCCAGACAUGGGACUGCUGGAUCAUAUGAUAAUUCUGUUUUUAAUUUUUGAGGACCCUCCAUAUUG
RNAcentral lists this small nuclear RNA (169 nucleotides) under Mustela putorius furo (domestic ferret). Its description in RNAcentral is "U4 spliceosomal RNA". It matches the Rfam family "U4 spliceosomal RNA". Rfam says of the family: U4 small nuclear RNA (U4 snRNA) is a component of the major U2-dependent spliceosome. The structure of U4 snRNA from yeast and human has been reported. Lineage: Eukaryota; Metazoa; Chordata; Mammalia; Carnivora; Mustelidae. The record is from Rfam by way of RNAcentral.